Molecule: ribosomal RNA, 434 nt
Filed under: uncultured bacterium
Lineage: Bacteria
Description: partial 16S ribosomal RNA
Rfam family: Bacterial small subunit ribosomal RNA
Source: RNAcentral
AGCGAACGCUGGCGGCAGGCCUAACACAUGCAAGUCGAACGAACCUUUCGGGGUUAGUGGCGGACGGGUGAGUAACACGUGGGAACGUGCCUUUAGGUUCGGAAUAACUCAGGGAAACUUGUGCUAAUACCGAAUGUGCCCUUCGGGGGAAAGAUUUAUCGCCUUUAGAGCGGCCCGCGUCUGAUUAGCUAGUUGGUUGAGGUAAUGGCUCACCAAGGCGACGAUCAGUAGCUGGUCUGAGAGGAUGAUCAGCCACAUUGGGACUGAGACACGGCCCAAACUCCUACGGGAGGCAGCAGUGGGGAAUCUUGCGCAAUGGGCGAAAGCCUGACGCAGCCAUGCCGCGUGAAUGAUGAAGGUCUUAGGAUUGUAAAAUUCUUUCACCGGGGACGAUUAUGACGGUACCCGGAGAAGAAGCCCCGGCUAACUUCGUG